GUUGUACUUCCUCCGUUCGGAAUUACUUGUCGUAGAAAUGGAUGUAUCUACACAUAUUUUAAUUCUAGAUACAUCCAUUUUCAAGACAAGUAAUUCCGAACGGAGGGAGUACUUG
Non-coding RNA from Triticum aestivum (bread wheat), 115 nucleotides. The record is from Rfam. Lineage: Eukaryota; Viridiplantae; Streptophyta; Magnoliopsida; Poales; Poaceae.